This is a long non-coding RNA of Silurus meridionalis, 241 nucleotides long. RefSeq lists it as uncharacterized. NCBI's taxonomy places the organism in Eukaryota, Metazoa, Chordata, Actinopteri, Siluriformes, Siluridae. The transcript has 3 exons. The record is from RefSeq and is a predicted model, not a curated record.
GACACAGUCAACUACAAGACUCUCUUGUCUACUCCUUCCUACCUGGAAGGUCACUCAUACCAGAUACCACAGCUUCUGCUUGGAUCUCGGCAUGCUUGACAGACAUAUCUUAAUGGAUGAGUGAUCAUCAACUACAACUCAGCCCCAGUAAAACGGAACUGCUGGACAUCCCAGGUGACUCAUCUACAGGCUGCCCAGGUGCUUGUUCAGUCUCUUGUCAUUUCAAGACUCGACUACUGCA